UACGGAGGAUGCGAGCGUUAUCCGGAUUUAUUGGGUUUAAAGGGUGCGCAGGCGGAUUUUUAAGUCAGCGGUCAAAUCGUGGGGCUCAACCCCAUCCAGCCGUUGAAACUGGGGAUCUAGAGUGUGCGAGAGGUAUGCGGAAUGCGUGGUGUAGCGGUGAAAUGCUUAGAUAUCAGGAGGAACAUCGGUGGCGUAAGCGCUUUACUGGGCCGUAAUUGACGCUGAGGAACGAAAGCCAGGGUAGCAAAUGGG
RNAcentral lists this ribosomal RNA (252 nucleotides) under uncultured bacterium. RNAcentral's name for it is "partial 16S ribosomal RNA". It matches the Rfam family "Bacterial small subunit ribosomal RNA", at positions 524 to 776 of the family's 1533-position model. The record is from RNAcentral.